CGCGUAGGUGGUAGUGUAAGUCUGAGGUGGAAUCCCAGGGCUUAACCCUGGAACUGCCUUGGAAACUGCAUUACUUGAGUCAGUGAGGGGAGGGUAGAAUUCCUGGUGUAGCGGUGAAAUGCGUAGAUAUCAGGAGGAAGGCCUGUGGCGAAGGCGGCCCUCUGGUGCUGGACUGACACUGAGGCGCGAAAGCGUGGGGAGCAAACAGGAUUAGAUACCCUGGUAGUCCACGCCCUAAACGGUGGGCACUAGGUGUAGGGCUCGUAAGGGUUCUGUGCCGAAGGGAACCAUUAAGUGCCCCGCCUGGGGAGUACGGCCGCAAGGUUGAA
This 329-nucleotide ribosomal RNA is filed under the name uncultured bacterium. Its description in RNAcentral is "bacterial SSU rRNA". It matches the Rfam family "Bacterial small subunit ribosomal RNA", at positions 568 to 898 of the family's 1533-position model. The record is from RNAcentral.